GUUAAAAUUGCUUAUUUCUCUUGAUUUAAACAUUCUUCGAAACAUUUGGGAUAAUCACUGACUCGUACAUGUUCUGAAGAUUUGUGCUACCCGCUUAGAUUGUACUACCUCCUAUUAAAAAGCUCUCCACAGGUGAUCUUGAGCUCCAUGUGAUCCAGAACUGAUGGGCUUUUGUCAGCCUCGAUGCUAAGGGCUUUUCUGGUCUGCCUAAAGAAGCUUUACAACUCAUCAUAACUGUGAUAACCAGCAGAGUGGCUCUCUGCUGGCCUGGAAGUUGUGAGGCAAGAUUCUGGAUGGGUCCUUUGGAUGAGAUAUAUGGAGUCUGCACAGAGAAUGAUACAGAGCCUGCAGCAGGUUGAAUAUUUGGAAGUAAAAAACAAACUGAGGGGACAAAUAGAACUCCAACAGCUAAUGAAGAAGAAAGUUGCACUAGAAAUGGUGGCUGCACAAGGAACUUCAGAGAUCUUCUCUAGGGGCAGCGUUUUGCCCAAGAAAAUUCUCUGGCGUGGAGGGUGUGCAGGGGCUGAUGAGUGCUGUACAUGAGGUGCAGGUCUCCACAGGUGAUCUUGAGCUCCAUGUGAUCCAGAACUGAUGGAUUAUUUUCAGCCUUCGCUGCUCAGGACUUUUUUAGCCUGCUCAAAGCAGCUUUCCAACUCAUCAUGACAGUGAUGUCCAGCAAAGUGGCUAUCUGCCAGGCUGGAGGUUGUGAGUCGAGAUUCCAGAUGGGUCCUUUGGAGGAGCUGUGGCCCCUUUGAGCCCAGAUGUACCAUGUAGGACAGGGCAGGUGUUCUGGUGGUGAUACGCACCAGGUGGCGCUCUCCUUCCAGUGUUAGAGAGAUGUCACACCGCUUGGAUGCAGGAAAGGCCUCCAGGGCUCGGAUUGAAAAGUCAAGAUUGGUUUUCAGGUGCGAGUUCAGCAAUCCUUCCUGACGGAUUUUCCAUUUCACAGAGAGAAGGCAGUCCAGAUCAAGAGAGGGUAGAGUGAAAUAUCUCCUUUUGGGAAGAAAUAAACAAAUGAGCAUUGAUUGUAUGGAAAAUAUAUGGUAACCUUAGAAAGAAUAAAUAAGUUUGGACAAACUUUUUUUUGUCCUAAAUUUUAAUGAUUUUAAUAAUGAACUUUCUCAUAUCAAAUUAUUUUUCAUUUUGUAACAGUAAAUCUCAAAGAGAUAACAUACAUACAGGAUUCAGAGUUACUUCACAAGAAGCCUGUUUAGCGAAACAAAACAUAUUGGCCCAGUUAACAACCAGAAAUACAGGUGAUCUGGGUUAAAAUGCAAAACAUCAACAAAAACUCUACUGGAUCGCAUGAUAGACAU
This is a long non-coding RNA of Cyprinus carpio carpio, 1316 nucleotides long. Lineage: Eukaryota; Metazoa; Chordata; Actinopteri; Cypriniformes; Cyprinidae. The record is from Ensembl.